This is a non-coding RNA of Picea glauca (white spruce), 119 nucleotides long. Lineage: Eukaryota; Viridiplantae; Streptophyta; Pinopsida; Pinales; Pinaceae. The record is from Rfam.
GGGUGUGAUCAUACUAGCAUUAAUGUAUUGGAUCCCAUCGAAACUCCGCAGUUAAGCGCACUUGGGCUAGAGUAGUACUAGGAUGUGUGACCUCCCGGGAAGUCCUAGUGUUGCACCCU